UGCAGUCGAGCGAAUGGAUUAAGAGCUUGCUCUUAUGAAGUUAGCGGCGGACGGGUGAGUAACACGUGGGUAACCUGCCCAUAAGACUGGGAUAACUCCGGGAAACCGGGGCUAAUACCGGAUAACAUUUUGAACCGCAUGGUUCGAAAUUGAAAGGCGGCUUCGGCUGUCACUUAUGGAUGGACCCGCGUCGCAUUAGCUAGUUGGUGAGGUAACGGCUCACCAAGGCAACGAUGCGUAGCCGACCUGAGAGGGUGAUCGGCCACACUGGGACUGAGACACGGCCCAGACUCCUACGGGAGGCAGCAGUAGGGAAUCUUCCGCAAUGGACGAAAGUCUGACGGAGCAACGCCGCGUGAGUGAUGAAGGCUUUCGGGUCGUAAAACUCUGUUGUUAGGGAAGAACAAGUGCUAGUUGAAUAAGCUGGCACCUUGACGGUACCUAACCAGAAAGCCACGGCUAACUACGUGCCAGCAGCCGCGGUAAUACGUAGGUGGCAAGCGUUAUCCGGAAUUAUUGGGCGUAAAGCGCGCGCAGGUGGUUUCUUAAGUCUGAUGUGAAAGCCCACGGCUCAACCGUGGAGGGUCAUUGGAAACUGGGAGACUUGAGUGCAGAAGAGGAGAGUGGAAUUCCAUGUGUAGCGGUGAAAUGCGUAGAGAUAUGGAGGAACACCAGUGG
RNAcentral lists this ribosomal RNA (678 nucleotides) under Bacillus sp. PSu3_2. RNAcentral's name for it is "bacterial SSU rRNA". It matches the Rfam family "Bacterial small subunit ribosomal RNA", at positions 56 to 715 of the family's 1533-position model. Lineage: Bacteria; Bacillati; Bacillota; Bacilli; Caryophanales; Bacillaceae. The record is from RNAcentral.